RNAcentral lists this ribosomal RNA (253 nucleotides) under uncultured bacterium. Its description in RNAcentral is "partial 16S ribosomal RNA". It matches the Rfam family "Bacterial small subunit ribosomal RNA", at positions 524 to 776 of the family's 1533-position model. The record is from RNAcentral.
UACGAAGGGGGCUAGCGUUGUUCGGAAUUACGGGGCGUAAAGCGCACGUAGGCGGCUCUGUAAGUUGGGGGUGAAAUCCCGAGGCUCAACCUCGGAAUUGCCUUCAAGCCUGCAGGGCUUGAGGUCGGGAGAGGUGAGUGGAAUUCCCAGUGUAGAGGUGAGAUUCGUAGAGAUUGGGAAGAACACCAGUGGAGAACGCGGCUCACUUGCCCGUAGGUGACGCCGAGCUGCGUAAGCGUGGGUGGCAACUAGG